RNAcentral lists this ribosomal RNA (742 nucleotides) under Wolbachia pipientis. RNAcentral describes it as "bacterial SSU rRNA". It matches the Rfam family "Bacterial small subunit ribosomal RNA", at positions 197 to 962 of the family's 1533-position model. Lineage: Bacteria; Pseudomonadati; Pseudomonadota; Alphaproteobacteria; Rickettsiales; Anaplasmataceae. The record is from RNAcentral.
CGGGGGAAAAAUUUAUUGCUAUUAGAUGAGCCUAUAUUAGAUUAGCUAGUUGGUGGGGUAAUAGCCUACCAAGGUAAUGAUCUAUAGCUGAUCUGAGAGGAUGAUCAGCCACACUGGAACUGAGAUACGGUCCAGACUCCUACGGGAGGCAGCAGUGGGGAAUAUUGGACAAUGGGCGAAAGCCUGAUCCAGCCAUGCCGCAUGAGUGAAGAAGGCCUUUGGGUUGUAAAGCUCUUUUAGUGAGGAAGAUAAUGACGGUACUCACAGAAGAAGUCCUGGCUAACUCCGUGCCAGCAGCCGCGGUAAUACGGAGAGGGCUAGCGUUAUUCGGAAUUAUUGGGCGUAAAGGGCGCGUAGGCUGGUUAAUAAGUUAAAAGUGAAAUCCCGAGGCUUAACCUUGGAAUUGCUUUUAAAACUAUUAAUCUAGAGAUUGAAAGAGGAUAGAGGAAUUCCUGAUGUAGAGGUAAAAUUCGUAAAUAUUAGGAGGAACACCAGUGGCGAAGGCGUCUAUCUGGUUCAAAUCUGACGCUGAAGCGCGAAGGCGUGGGGAGCAAACAGGAUUAGAUACCCUGGUAGUCCACGCUGUAAACGAUGAAUGUUAAAUAUGGGGAGUUUACUUUCUGUAUUACAGCUAACGCGUUAAACAUUCCGCCUGGGGACUACGGUCGCAAGAUUAAAACUCAAAGGAAUUGACGGGGACCCGCACAAGCGGUGGAGCAUGUGGUUUAAUUCGAUGCAACGC